This 5322-nucleotide long non-coding RNA is filed under the name Sus scrofa (pig). RNAcentral's name for it is "lncRNA (ENSSSCG00040016414.1)". The record is from RNAcentral. Lineage: Eukaryota; Metazoa; Chordata; Mammalia; Artiodactyla; Suidae.
CACACACACAUACACGUAGAGCUUCCUCAGGACAUGCAGUGCUAUUUGUGAAUCAACAGAGAAGCACUCUGGCGGGUAGAUACUUUUACUAUCCUCACUUUAUCAGUGAAGAAACUGAGGCGAGGGUUAUUGAAUAACUUGCCAAAGUCCUACAGCUGGAAGGGACGAUGGCUAUUCCGGGUCACCAGUUUUGACUGAAACCAAAAACAACAUGACAAACACAUGUGAUCAUGAAGAAAUGUUAAGACCAAGUAGGUUUCUAUAGAAAAGGAACUUCGAAAAAUUUCCACUUACAGAAGGGUAAUAUUUCCAAAUACAUCAGCGAUGAAUUCAUCAUCUUGCACAACUAUCCAGCCACACAGGUUAACAUUAAAGUAUUCUGUGGCUUCAGAUACAAUGUUUCCUACUAUUUCUGAUUUUUUUUUAAGGUUUCAAAGUAUUUGAGGAUUCAGACUAUGUCUCUUCAAAUAGCACAGGCUGACGGGCAUUCCAUCCAGUCAUUUCUGCUCUUACCUAAGGAAACCAGCAGAACUUGGUUUUAUUGCACAAUAGUAGAAGCCAAAUGUAGCCACAAACCCAGAGACCGAUUCUUCUGGUACAGUUGGCCCUCCCUAGGCAUGGGUUCUGUGUUCUUAGAUUCAACCAACCGCAAAUCAAAAAUAUUCAGGGGGAAAAAAAGAAUUCCCGAAAGUUCUAAAAAGCACAAUUUGAAUUUGUUCCCUGCAGACAACAAUUUACAUGGCUUUUACAUGGUAUUAGGUAUUACAACUAAUUACAGAUGAUUUAAAGUUUAAGGGAGGAUGUGUUGGGUUAUAUAUGGAAACAUUUUGUCAUUUUAUAGAAGGGACUUGAGCAUUUGCAGAUACCCUGGGGUUAGUCCCCCCCUCAGAAUCCAAGGGGUGACUGUACUUCUGAAUCUUUGAAUUAAUCAUAAUAGAACAGGAGAGAAGAGGGCAGGGCACAACCUUUAACGAAUGACAGAGCCAUUGAGGACAAGACAUAAACUGGUUGGAACCAAGUAGGUCCAAGUUGGGGGAUGGCAGGACUUCCAGUGGACUCAAGUCUCACUGUACCCUCACUGUAAUAUAUUAGCAUAGGCUACAUGACACACCUACAGGUGCCAGGACAGCUCCAAGACCAACCAUAAAAGACCAAAAAGUGGGCAGUGACCCUAUUCCUGGAAAUCUCCAGCCCUUUUCCAAAUGGUUGGAAUAAUCCUCCCAUGCAUUAGCUCUGAAGUUACCCAGCCCAUGAAAACCAACCACCCCAGAUUUGGGGGCCACUCUCUUGCCUUUGGAAACAGAGCACAUUCUGUCUAUGGAACGUGUACCUCCCAGGCUGCUCUCACCUUCUGAGAUGAUCCACACUCUCUCUCUCACUAAAUCCACUUCUUACCUAUCAUGUUGCCUUUCACUGAAUUCCUUCUGCUCUGAGACAUAAAGAAUCUGAACUUCAGUAAGUCCUGGCAUUUCAAUUAAAAGAGAGUGGGUUCAAGUCCUAAUCCGAGUUGUAGGGUUUCCAUAAGAAGUCCUCAAAAACAAAAACAAAGCCCCCACCUAAGAGAAUGGCGAAAUUCAAAAAGAGGAGGGGCUUGUUUUUAAUCCUUAAAUAGCUGAGUCCCUUCAAAAUUAAGAAGUCACUGUUUCCCCCAGACAGUCGGCCAACAGAAAGAAGGACAUGUCCUUGGACCUAUCUUUCUGUGGCUGUCACAGCUGAGACAAAGCUGUGGGCCCUGCUGAGGAAGUGCAGCAGGGCUCUGGCACUGGCUGUGCCCUGCACGUGCAGCACCCCCCUUCAGAGAGCCAAGGUCUCUGUUUCCUUCCAGCAGGAACCAUAGAUGCUUCGUAGGAAAAUACAGGAAUUCGAUGCACAUGAAGCAAAAUACAACUAGCUCAGGGAGAGGGGGAGAGUUUUCCUGAAAUCCAUGAGUUUCCCUGGUUUCACAUGACACCGUGUAGGGUUUAUAAUUCACGUACCACAGGAGGCUGAACAUUGUCAUUUCCUGCCCCCUCCAAUGGUGGUUUUCCAGUGAGGAGAACAUUGUGACUAACCAGUGCUGUUUUUUUUUUUUUUACUCUGAGUCUUCAUGUUUGUGAAACAAAGCUGGCUUAUACUUGCAGGGGGAGGGGCUGAGGAGGUGGGCUGCAGAGAAGCAACCUGGAGCUGGUCUUAUUAUCAAUCAUCUCCGCCGGUUGUGAGAGUUUUGACAAGAAAAACCUACCCACACAGACGGGCACUGCUGUGCAUUUACAGCAUGUUAAUUAGAGCAUUUAUGAGACAUCAUCUAACGUUCUAUCAGAUGAGUCUUUCAAUAUAAAUAUUCAGACCGACUGAGAUUGUUUGAACUUUGUAACAUCCGAACUUGAUUAUGAAACAGGCAAGAGAGACUAUGCAUAUUUUCACUGGUUCACUUAGUCUUUCAUAUGUUGAAGGGUGUAUGCGUGUGCUUGUGUGUGUGUGUGUUAGGGGUGGAAUUUUCAAAUCUGGAGCUUCUAUGUAACAUGUAUUUGCUGUGGUGCUUGCAUGACGCUGAUGUUCAGCAGAGGUCGGCUAAGCGAACCUGUAGUUUGCUCGGGUUUCAUCACCAGUGAUUUCUUCUCUUGGGUAUGGUGGUUGUAAAACACUGCUGUGCGUGAAGGCCACGUGGGCCCUCACUCAGCCCUUCAGGAAGGCCGCCUGUGAUCCGAGGAACCUGCUGUUUGAGGUGCAGUCAGCUGUCGGAGGAAAUGGCUCUCAGGGACGGUCAGUGAACAGGCAGCUUCCAGAGCUAAGAAGCCCAGUCCUGAGGAGGGAGGGCCCACACUCUCAGGAAGGUAAUAUCAUGUCACCAGAGGCAACCUUGAGCCCCUCGCACCGAGUGGAUGCAGGCAGAGAAGACUGUUACGGAGCUGAAAUGAUCAGCACAUACAUGAUCCGGACUUUCGGAUCCAGAAAUUGUCGCUCUCUCUCCAGCACUGCCCAGAGGGGAAGGGGAGAGGAUGACUUGACCAAUGAGUCAUAUUACUCUGUGCUCUGGGACAGACUCCCAACAACGGAGACGCAGGCAGGAAGCCUCAUGUUGUAUGUACCCUUGACCAGGUGGUCGCUGUAUUUUGCAUGAAGUAUGAAUUAACUAGACUUAUGGCUGAUACGUCAGUUUCGUAUGGGUUUUGGUUAAGCAAGAGGCAGUUCUAAGCCAACCACUCCUGGUGCUGUAACUCAUCAUUUCUUGCCCUGAGAAGCCCAGGACCAGUCUGGGGGCUCAUCAGGGCAGUACCCCUGGGAACCCAGCCUGCCCAGCUAACUAGCCCCCUCAGUGACACAUCCAGUGUCUCUCUGACUGCAUCCAGAGCCUGUGGAGGGCAAGUGCCCAUCUCAUUACAACACUUGAGUUCAGAGUUGUGACACCAACAUCUGAUACAUCUCAUGUGAUUCAUAACUAUUCAUCAAAAAGCAGUUAUGCUUCAGCUGGUCUUAAAAAGAGACACUCCCAAAGUCCCUCCAGGAAUAAACGUUUGAAGGAGAACCUUCCUGAAUGGACAAAACUAUUUCCAGUGGAGCAAGAAACCUGGAAUCUUGUCUAAGAAAAUGAAAAGAAGUUCCACGUACAUUCACCUUAGAAGGAGAAUGAAACUGAGGAUUCAGGUUCGAUCCCUGGCCUUGCUCAGUAGGUUAAGGAUCCAACGUUGCUGUGAGCUGUGGUGUAGGUUGCAGAUGCUGCUGGGAUCUGGCAUUGCUGUGGUGUGGGCCAGCAGCUGCAGCUCCAAUUUGACCCCAGCCUGGGAAUUUCCAUGUGCCGUGGGUGCAGCCUUAUAAAGACAGACAGACAGACAGACAGACAGAAAGAAAGAAACCCCAGACUUCCAUGACGUGGGCGAGGACUCCAGAUCCCAGGGCACAAAAUUUAAAGAGGCCCCUUGAUCUGUAACACCAGCCAGCUUCAUCAUCUCGCUGAUCACCCCAGGAAAGGAACCACCUGCAGGCUGCCUGGUGGCUCGGAGGUGUCCUGAGUGACCAUACUGCUUCCUACCGGCGCUCUGGGCUGGAUGCUGACAAAGCCAGAUGGGCGGCAGCAGCAUGACCACCCUGGGAACACCUCCCUGGCUUGGUUUUGAGGAGUGGCCAGUCCCCAGCUCUGGCUCCAGCUCCAGCUCCAGGACUGACUGACCACAGCAUUGCAUCCUCCGGCUGCAGGGGAGGGUGCCAAACCAGGUCAGCGAUGCCAGUGGAACUGGCUUCCAGAACUGUUACUGUGAACUGCAAAGAAGUGUUCUUUUUUGCUGCCCUUAUGAAGCUAAGCUUGCCAGGAGCCGCCAUCUGAAGAAGUCAGCCCACAGAAGGGGCAGCCUGGAGAAAAGCAGAGCCAGGCUGCGGGGAGGAAGCCAGGCCUACCUCUCCCCAACAGUGGGUGCGGAGCCCACAGGGCACACACCGCUGGACACCCACUUCUCAGGACAGUGGCGUAGCUGUGUUGAAAGGACCAGCCCUCAUUCUUUCUAGUAUAUACUACGCAAACCUGAACCACGCUUGCUGAAAGGAGACACUUGGAACGCAGUGGCUUCUUAGCAGGUGACAGUUAUUUUGUCAGGACAUGACAAGCGCCUAUCAUCCGGGGGAGGUCCAGCUCUCACUCUCAGGACAAAGUCACAGAUUUCCAAAAGGACCCUGGAAAGGCCUCAGGAAGUUGCCACCCGGGAGAGUGUUUCUCCAAGGCCCUGCGUGUCCAGACUCCCCUCAUGGCAGGACAGACCUCAGCUCCCUCGGGGUUUACGUGAGGGCGCUUGUGGAGAAUCCAUCUCUAAUGCCACAGUCGUGGAGAUCAGGCCACAUGGGCACAUGGCAGCUGAGCCCCUGUGAGAGAAGGACAGGCUUCAGCCACCACCUUGGCCUUCGAGGGCUGUAGCUCACGGACAGAGAGAGUAUGACCUGGCUGUUACAUGUUAUCCUGCACUGUGCCCACCCCCACCCCUCAUUCCCCCACCUCUUUUUUUUCCUUUGUGACCUUUAUUGCUAAAUUCAUUAAGGCACGUGCGCAUCUGGGCAGUUCUGCUGUAUUACCAUCCACUCCCGCUAAGUUAUCACCAUCUAAUCACACCCUGUGUGGAUCAGCACCCCAAUAUCAACUGCCAGGUCGGUCCAUGUGGAGAACACUUUGACAUCUGGAUUGUCUUUUCCCUAGCAUGUGGCGAAAGCUCAAGGGGGCAUUUUCAGAAAGUAUACUCUGUGGUAGUUCUAAAAUAGUCCUUGGAAAACUAUAUGGAGAUGCCUCAAAAAAUUAAAAACAGAACUAGUAAUUAGGAUCCAAAAAUAACGAGCCAGUAAUUCCACUCCUGGGUAUUAUCC